This is a non-coding RNA of Homo sapiens (human), 97 nucleotides long. NCBI's taxonomy places the organism in Eukaryota, Metazoa, Chordata, Mammalia, Primates, Hominidae. The record is from RefSeq and is marked provisional.
CCCGGGACCUUGGUCCAGGCGCUGGUCUGCGUGGUGCUCGGGUGGAUAAGUCUGAUCUGAGCACCACACAGGCCGGGCGCCGGGACCAAGGGGGCUC